CCUACGGGAGACAGCAGUGAGGAAUAUUGGUCAAUGGGCGGGAGCCUGAACCAGCCAAGUCGCGUGAGGGAAGACGGUACUAUGGAUUGUAAACCUCUUUAGGCGGGGAGCAAUGCCGGGCACGCGUGCCAGGAGGGAGAGUACCCGCAGAAUAAGCAUCGGCUAACCCCGUCCCAGCAGCCGCGGUAAUACGGAGGAUGCGAGCGUUAUCCGGAUUUAUUGGGUUUAAGGGGUGCGUAGGCGGAUGUUUAAGUCAGCGGUAAAAUGUCCGGGCUCAACCCGGGCCGGCCGUUGAAACUGGGGAUCUUGAGUGGGCGAGAAGUAUGCGGAAUGCGUGGUGUAGCGGUGAAAUGCAUAGAUAUCGCGCAGAACUCCGAUUGCGAAGGCAGCAUGCCGGCGCCCGACUGACGCUGAGGCACGAAAGCGUGGGGAUCGAACAGGAUUAGAUACCCCUGUAGUC
Molecule: ribosomal RNA, 460 nt
Filed under: uncultured bacterium
Lineage: Bacteria
Description: partial 16S ribosomal RNA
Rfam family: Bacterial small subunit ribosomal RNA
Source: RNAcentral